Molecule: ribosomal RNA, 796 nt
Filed under: uncultured Bacteroidota bacterium
Lineage: Bacteria; Pseudomonadati; Bacteroidota
Description: bacterial SSU rRNA
Rfam family: Bacterial small subunit ribosomal RNA
Source: RNAcentral
AGCGUAGAUGGAUGUUUAAGUCAGUUGCGAAAGUUUGCGGCUCAACCGUAAAAUUGCAGUUGAUACUGGAUAUCUUGAGUGCAGUUGAGGCAGGCGGAAUUCGUGGUGUAGCGGUGAAAUGCUUAGAUAUCACGAGGAACUCCGAUUGCGAAGGCAGCCUGCUAAGCUGCAACUGACAUUGGGGCUCGAAAGUGUGGGUAUCAAACAGGAUUAGAUACCCUGGUAGUCCACACGGUAAACGAUGAAUACUCGCUGUUUGCGAUAUACGGCAAGCGGCCAAGCGAAAGCGUUAAGUAUUCCACCUGGGGAGUACGCCGGCAACGGUGAAACUCAAAGGAAUUGACGGGGGCCCGCACAAGCGGAGGAACAUGUGGUUUAAUUCGAUGAUACGCGAGGAACCUUACCCGGGCUUAAAUUGCAGAUGAAUUACGGUGAAAGCCGUAAGCCGCAAGGCAUCUGUGAAGGUGCUGCAUGGUUGUCGUCAGCUCGUGCCGUGAGGUGUCGGCUUAAGUGCCAUAACGAGCGCAACCCUUGUUGUCAGUUACUAACAGGUUCUGCUGAGGACUCUGACAAGACUGCCAUCGUAAGAUGUGAGGAAGGUGGGGAUGACGUCAAAUCAGCACGGCCCUUACGUCCGGGGCUACACACGUGUUACAAUGGGGGGUACAGAGGGCCGCUACCACGCGAGUGGAUGCCAAUCCCAAAAACCUCUCUCAGUUCGGACUGGAGUCUGCAACCCGACUCCACGAAGCUGGAUUCGCUAGUAGUCGCGCAUCAGCCACGGCGCGGUGAAUAC